UGUAGAAAAUAAAGUUGCAGACAUGUAGAAAAUAAAGUUGCAGGUUUUCUCAAAUCCUCCGAUAUAUUAUUGCUGAGAAUUGGUGGGCCUUAAAUAGCCAAUGACAUGAAGACUAAGUCUCCUACAACUAAACAAUGAGAAACUUGCGGAAGUAAACUAAUGACUAGGACCACUACUACUUGACUCCUACAGACCAGGAGCUUAUUCAAACUUGAAAAACAACUUAAAGACUCAUUCAAACUAAAGCUAAAAGACCAAUUCAACUCUAAUACUCCAACAUACCCUCCCUUAAACUGGAAAUGCUAACAAAAGCAUCCAGUUUAAUCUUCUUGUCCCUGCAUUCCUCCUCUUCAAAUGAAACUUGAGCCAUCAAAAGUACGUCCUCCUCCAAUUCUGCAUAAUAUGCUCCCUUCUCCCAAUCAGGACAUUCAUAUUGGAAAUGUCCUAAUUUAUGGCACUUAAAACACUCAAUGGAUGCCUUGUCUGGCGUAGCUCUUCCUCGACCUCUGCCACGGCCGCCUCGUAAGCUACCUCGUCCUCUUCCGUAACUGGAACGUUCGUCUUGAGAGACAUUCAAAACAUGCUCCUCCUCCUGAGGUUCUUGCAUCCUUCCCUCAUGAACCAACAAGCUUCCAUGUAGCUCAUCAAUAGUUAGCGUACUCAGAUCAUUUGAUUCCUCGAUUGAGCACACAACAUAAUUGAAUUUCCUGGUUAAUGAUCUGAGUAUCUUGCUCACAAUUGUGCUCUGCUCCACGCUUUCUCCAUUGAUCUUCAUUUUGUUUACCACAGACAAGGUUCUUCCCAAGAAGGUGUCUAUCUUCUCGCCUUCCUUCAUAGCGAGCAACUCGAACUCUCUUUUCAACGCCUGGAGUUGUGCUCGUCUCACCUUUGUUGAACCUUGAUACUUCCUUUUCAUCGAUUCCCAAAUCGCUUUUGAAGUUCCUUUGUCAAGAAUUGUUUCAAGAAUUUCUCUGUCAAUGGCUUGAAACAGAAAAUUCUUGACUUUAAGAUCCUUGAGCUUUGCCUCUUCCACAGCUUUUCUCUGAGCUUCAUUCGCUGGUGAUGACCCGAUCGCCAUUGUCGGAAUCCCUUCUUCCACCAGGCUCCACAUCUCUCUACUCCUUAGAAAGUUCUCCAUCGCCAUUGACCAAAAGUCAUAGUAGCCGUCGAAUUUCGGAAUAGCCGGCUGCACAAACUUCUCGGAUGAUGUUGACAUUUCUUUGUUCUUCUUUCUCUCCCUUUUUCUUUUUCUUUAAACGACUCACUCUUUUUCUCACUCAACGACUCACUCUUUCUCUCACUCCUCUUUCACUCACUCGUUUUCUUUUCAACGACUCACUCUUUCUCUCACUCCUCUUUCUCUCACUCCUCUUUCAUUCACUCGUUUUCUUUUCAACGACUCACUCUUUCUCUCACUCCUCUUUCUCUAACUCCUCUUUCACUCACUCGUUUUCUUUUCACUCAAAGAUAUUUUAUUUGAAAAUGGCUCUGAUACCACAUGUAGAAAAUAAAGUUGCAGACAUGUAGAAAAUAAAGUUGCAGGUUUUCUCAAAUCCUCCGAUAUAUUAUUGCUGAGAAUUGGUGGGCCUUAAAUAGCCAAUGACAUGAAGACUAAGUCUCCUACAACUAAACAAUGAGAAACUUGCGGAAGUAAACUAAUGACUAGGACCACUACUACUUGACUCCUACAGACCAGGAGCUUAUUCAAACUUGAAAAACAACUUAAAGACUCAUUCAAACUAAAGCUAAAAGACCAAUUCAACUCUAAUACUCCAACAG
This 1779-nucleotide long non-coding RNA is filed under the name Arabidopsis lyrata. RNAcentral's name for it is "long non-coding RNA (ALYR_LNC001213)". Lineage: Eukaryota; Viridiplantae; Streptophyta; Magnoliopsida; Brassicales; Brassicaceae. The record is from RNAcentral.